RNAcentral lists this microRNA precursor (102 nucleotides) under Marmota monax (woodchuck). Lineage: Eukaryota; Metazoa; Chordata; Mammalia; Rodentia; Sciuridae. The record is from RNAcentral.
AGUAGAAUUGCUGGAUUGUAUGGUAAUUCUGUUUAGCUUUUUUAAGAAACUACCCAGCUUGUUUCCACAGUGGUUGGACCAUUCUAUAUUCCUGCUAGCAAU